GAGAGACUAUCAUAAAUACCUUGGCCCAAGAUGUUGAAGUCGUAAUAUGUGAAAGAGGAAGUGGAAAUGAUUUGAAUUUGUAUUACUAACUAGCAUUUGGCCCCUGUUAUGCAGGGACAACAUUGUUUUAAAUUAUAUCUGCUACAACUCUUAACUAAGAUUUUUAAAAUAAAGCAGACAGCAUAAAUAUACAACAAAUUUAUUAUCAUUGACUGAAGAAUAUACAAAGAUUAAGAAAAAGAUAUAAAGAAGGUACAAUUUUUCUACCCAAUGAAUCAAUUGCGAUAGACAGUAACUAACAAAUCAAGAGUUUAGAAAUAUAAGAGAGUAUAAGUACGAAAAUUAUGCUGGGUAUAUACAUGUCCGCUUAUUUCAUCAUUAGCUCCAACCAAUUGUAAUGUGUUCUUCUUCUCAUCAUCAGUAAUUCAGUUUACAAACAUUCGUUGACACCCAAAGCUUGGAAGUCUAAAAAAAAAUGUAAAAUGUGCACAAGUAAGUAAUUACAUGACGCAGACGCUGCCUUUGAAACAAUAUCAAAGAUAUUGCAGAUAUAAAGAAGUAAAAUAAGAGAUGACUUUAAAAUUGAAGUAUUUGUAUU
This 598-nucleotide small RNA is filed under the name Arabidopsis thaliana (thale cress). Its description in RNAcentral is "ATSL152420". The record is from RNAcentral. Lineage: Eukaryota; Viridiplantae; Streptophyta; Magnoliopsida; Brassicales; Brassicaceae.